CUGGAUUGGUCUCAGAGCUGUAGGAGGGAAAUGGAAAUGGCUCGAUGGAAGUGAUCUGACCAAUCAAGCCUGGAUACAGCAGCAGAAAGCCACUGAUGGUCAAUGUGUAACUUCUCUCCAGAACCGAGAAUGGACAUCAGUGAGCUGUACUGAAAAAAACGCCUGGAUCUGUGAGAAGAAGGCUUUAUCUGUUUAAACAUGAAAUGUUCAGGUUUUUGACAGGCUGUUUGGAAAACCUUAUUGAAGACUUAUGCAUUUUUCUGGUUUAGUUUUUUUGAUAAGCUAUUUUUAAAAGGCUUUACAUGUUUCAAAUGUUUUUUUCUGAUGAUUUGUCUGAAGAUGUAAAUUUAAAGUUUAUCAACAGAUUCAAAAGUCAGACAAAAUGACUUUUACGGUUCCUGAAGUUUUUACUGAUGGUUUUUGAAGGAACUUUAAGUGGUUUCAGCAUGAUUUUAGGAUUCCCACUGCCUGUGAAUCUUUCUUCAAUAGUUAAGAUAAUUUGUGUAUAUAACCAUUACAGAAGUUAUUUUGUUACACAGGAUAACACAAUUAUUAUUUUUAAAGAUGAGAAUUUAAAAAAAUGUCUGCCUUUUUCUUUCUGCCAUUUUUUCCUAUCAUUUAGCUUAUCAAACAUUUGUGGAGCCUGAUUUUAAUUAAGAAUUCCACAAAGAUGACAAUAAAUCUCUUCAUUUUAAAGCAAA
This is a long non-coding RNA of Poecilia latipinna (sailfin molly), 701 nucleotides long. RefSeq lists it as uncharacterized. NCBI's taxonomy places the organism in Eukaryota, Metazoa, Chordata, Actinopteri, Cyprinodontiformes, Poeciliidae. The transcript has 2 exons. The record is from RefSeq and is a predicted model, not a curated record.